This 238-nucleotide ribosomal RNA is filed under the name uncultured bacterium. RNAcentral describes it as "partial 16S ribosomal RNA". It matches the Rfam family "Bacterial small subunit ribosomal RNA", at positions 96 to 334 of the family's 1533-position model. The record is from RNAcentral.
UGGCGAACGGGUGAGUAACGCGUGAGGAACCUGCCUCAAAGAGGGGGACAACAGUUGGAAACGGCUGCUAAUACCGCAUAAGCGCACAGUACCGCAUGGUACGGUGUGAAAAACUCCGGUGGUAUGAGAUGGACCCGCGUCUGAUUAGGUAGUUGGUGGGGUAACGGCCUACCAAGCCGACGAUCAGUAGCCGACCUGAGAGGGUGACCGGCCACAUUGGGACUGAGACACGGCCCAA